Dromaius novaehollandiae (emu) is the source of this 1635-nucleotide long non-coding RNA. RefSeq lists it as uncharacterized. The transcript has 2 exons. The record is from RefSeq and is a predicted model, not a curated record. Lineage: Eukaryota; Metazoa; Chordata; Aves; Casuariiformes; Dromaiidae.
GUGGGCGGGGCCAGGGACGGGGCGGAGCCGGGCGGCCCCUUCCCGGCGCAUGCGCGGCCGCUCCGGCCCCCAGGGCCGCGGGCGGGCGUUGGCGCUGGGUGUCCGGGGCCCCCGGGCCGCCCCCUCCCCGGCGCGGGGCUCCCGCUUGCCGCAGCCCGGAGGCGGCGGGGCGGCAGCAGCGAGCGCUGCCCCGGCCGGGCCGCCCGGCCCCAGCACCCGUUGCCAGUCGAGACAAGAAAAGAGCACUUGUGGGAAGGGGAUGCGCUGGUUCUGCUCAGCGGAGCAUCCGGAGAGGAGGACAGAGUCUCUCAGGAAGAGCCUGAAGCCUUGCCGUAAGGACACGGGACACAUCAAAUGGUGCACAACAUACAGACAGAGCCAUGAAUCCACCUGGUCUUCACUUUCUGACUUCUGAUCUAAUGAAAAUGCUAAACAAGGCAGGAUUUGCUAGGUACAGUAAGUUCCCAUUAUAAUAACUAUAAUAAUAAUUUAAAUAUAGUAAUAAUUUCUGUGGCUCUUUGAUCCCCAUAUAUAUAUACACACACUUGUCCACACCUAAACUGUAUUUCUUCCUUAAUGAAAACCUGGUAAUUUUGCCCAUCAGCCUGGGUGGCUUGCUCUUUACAACUCUGUAGUCCAAGCGUCUAAUCCUGCAAGACAGCCUUUACAGUAAGUGCUUCAAUUAAAAACUAGUUGCCUCUCUCCUACUUUCAACAUCAGUUAUUUUGAAAUACAAAGACUACUUUUAAUUCUCUCUCCUCCUUCAAGGGUAUUUUCCUAAAACACAGAUUUGCAUGAAGAAAUGUCGAUAAAAAUAGGCACCGCCUGACCCUGACCCCUCUCCACAGCACAGCAGCAUUGCACAGAGCAGAGGGUCACUGCCAGGGGGUCUGAGUCUCUCCGCUUUGCAGCCUAACACCAAAACCUUUCUCUCUUGUUUCGUGGGAACCUCGGGAAGCCACAGUCAGGACUGGCACCUCGCUGGGCCAGAGGGUGGAUAAGCAGCUGUGAGGACGGGGGGAAGUUUGCAGUCCUCCCUGCUUUUUUCAGUGCACAUCUGUUUCCUUAUGAAAAGUGCUAACAGCUGCUCCAGAUGAGUCCUGAUAGCUCUGGAGACAAGCACUUCGAGGUGCUUUGGGCAAAUAUACCUGAUCUUGCUCUGCAAAGACUUGUCACGUUAGGUUAAUCCACUCUUCACGUCAACUGAACAAACCAGCAAGGCUGGCAGUCCUUUGACACGGGCACCUGCCUAUUGCAAUAGGGAUUAAAGUCACAAAACUCAUUUCUCACACGCCACAGGACCUUCCUGAGAGCAUCACAGACCCGAGGCGGACACCUUGGCUGGGCUGGGCCGGAGCCGACGAGCAGGGGGCGAAAACUCCCCAUUUCAUGACAAACCUCUGCAGCCGCCCCAUCCAUCCUGUCAGCACAACGUUGGACUCUGCUUCGGGGAGCCCCUUCUCCAUCCUUCUUCAAAGGAAGGUGCGUUUCCUCCUUACCGGGGUUCUGCGAGAAAGAAGAGCUACACUGUAAAAAACCACUGCUAUCACUGCUAGAUAAAAACAACCGUGUUGUUUUAAAGGAAAUAAAGCACAGAACUCAACUGCCAAGUGAACUCCUUGGCGGUCAGCUGGA